This 1207-nucleotide ribosomal RNA is filed under the name Sebacina tomentosa. RNAcentral describes it as "eukaryotic LSU rRNA". The stretch from base 540 to 1207 matches the Rfam family "Eukaryotic large subunit ribosomal RNA", at positions 1 to 654 of the family's 3401-position model. The record is from RNAcentral. Lineage: Eukaryota; Fungi; Basidiomycota; Agaricomycetes; Sebacinales; Sebacinaceae.
AUUAUUGAUUACGAAUUGUUGCUGUCUGUGCUGGCUCCGGCAAGUGCACGUCGGUGACUUUCAUCCAACACCCCUGUGCACUCUUGGCCUCUUGCUAGCUUCGGCUGGCUGAGGAUUUUUUACACACUCACUCGAAUGUAAUGAAAAACUAUGGUUGUGCGCAAGCACGAAUGUACAACUUUCAACAACGGAUCUCUUGGCUCUCGCAUCGAUGAAGAACGCAGCGAAAUGCGAUAAGUAAUGUGAAUUGCAGAAUUCAGUGAAUCAUCGAAUCUUUGAACGCACCUUGCACCCUUUGGCAUUCUGAAGGGUAUGCUCGUUUGAGUGUCAUUGUACUCUCAUACUCUCUGAUCCUUUUGGAUUUGGGAGCGAUGGACUUGGGUGUUGCUGCUUUACCGUGGCUCACCUGGAAUGCAUUAGUGCAUCUCUUGGUUGGGCAUAGUACGGCGUGAUAAAGUGUCUUCGCCGGCACCUCGCAAGAGGGUGGCUGACCAGGAGCUCUGUGCUUCCUAAUGGUCUUCGGACAAUCUCUGACGGCUUGACCUCAAAUCGAGUAGGACUACCCGCUGAACUUAAGCAUAUCAAUAAGCGGAGGAAAAGAAACUACAAGGAUUCCCCUAGUAACGGCGAGUGAAGAGGGAAGAGCUCAAAUUUUGAAUCUGGCGUCUUUGGCGUCCGAGUUGUAAUCUAGAGAAGUGUUUUUCCGUGACGGACCGUGCAUAAGUCUCCUGGAAUGGAGCGUCAUAGAGGGUGAGAAUCCCGUAUAUGGCAUGGACUACUGUUGCUCUGUGAUACACUCUCGACGAGUCGAGUUGUUUGGGAAUGCAGCUCCAAAUGGGUGGUAAAUGCCAUCUAAAGCUAAAUAUUGGCGAGAGACCGAUAGCGCACAAGUACCGUGAGGGAAAGAUGAAAAGCACUUUGGAAAGAGAGUGAAACAGUACGUGAAAUUGUUGAAAGGGAAACGCUUGAAGUCAGUCGCGCCGUUCGGGACUCAGCCUUGCUUCUGCUUGGUUUACUUCCCGUUGGGUGGGUCAACAUCAGUUUUGGUCGGAGGAGAAAGACUUGGGGAAGGUGGCAGCAUUCGUGCUGUGUUAUAGCCCCUUGUUGUAUACUUCGACUGGGACUGAGGACCGCAGCACGCCUUUGGCCGGGGUUCGCCCACGUACGUGCUUAGGAUGUUGGCAUAAUGGCUUUAAGCGACCCGUCU